UAAGGGCGUACGGGGGAUGCCUAGGCGUCAAGUGCCGAUGAAGGACGUGUAGCACUGCGAAAAGCGAUGGGGAGUCGUGCUAGGACAAUGAGCCAUCGAUAUCCGAAUGGGGAAACCCGGCUUGGGGAAUGCCAAGUCAGCCACGGUUGAACACAUAGGCCGUGAGCGGGGAACUCAGGGAACUGAAACAUCUAAGUACCUGGAGGAAAAGAGAGUAUUCCGUGAGUAGUGGCGAGCGAAAGCGGAGGAGCCCAAACCAAGAUGGCUUCGGUCAUUUUGGGGUUGUAGGACCAACAGAAGACAAGACGUGGCGAGCAGAACAGCACUGGAAAGGCUGACCGGAGCGGGGUGAUAGUCCCGUAAGCGGAGCGACGGCUUGUUGGUUGGAAUCCUGAGUACUGCGGGGCACGCUAACCCUGCAGGAAGCUGGGAGGCCCACCUUCCAAGGCUAAAUACACUUGACGACCGAUAGUGGACUAGUACCGUGAGGG
This 491-nucleotide ribosomal RNA is filed under the name uncultured bacterium. Its description in RNAcentral is "bacterial LSU rRNA". It matches the Rfam family "Bacterial large subunit ribosomal RNA", at positions 12 to 509 of the family's 2925-position model. The record is from RNAcentral.